RNA transcript from Sphaerodactylus townsendi, 3516 nucleotides. It is a transcript of the gene named RB transcriptional corepressor 1, with no coding region annotated. The transcript is spliced from 28 exons. The record is from RefSeq and is a predicted model, not a curated record. Lineage: Eukaryota; Metazoa; Chordata; Lepidosauria; Squamata; Sphaerodactylidae.
GGGCGUGUCGGACCCCGCCCGCAGCGUCCCCUGCCCGGCGCCCGUCAUGGCGGCCACCCGCGCCCCGAAAAAAGCCGACCCCGCCCCGCCCCCCGCCAGCCCGGACAGGGUGCCUUCUGCUGAACCAGAGUUCGUUGCCAUGUGCUGUGCUUUACGGGUGACGGACAGCAUCAGAGCCGCAGCUUGGCAGCUGUACGAAAAAGUGCUAUGCACAUGCGGAAUUGUGGAAGGCCGUCUUAAAAAAGAAUUGUGGGGGAUCUGUAUCUUCAGCACAGCCGCCGACUUGGAUGAGAUGACGUUCACUUUUACAGAACUUCUGAAAUGUUUGGAUAUUAGCAUGUGUAAAUUUGUUCUUCUGGUUGAAGGAAUGGAGGACAGCAUGGAUGCAAUUAGCACAAAAGUACACAGUAUUCUGUUACGCUUAAAGAAGAAAUAUGACAUAUUGUUUGCCCUGUACCAGAAGUUUGAAAGGACUUGGGGACAGAUCUGUGUUGACCAGCCUGGUGAUCAAAAUUCUUCCGAAUUAAGUUCUUCAUCUGUUCUGAAAUUAUGCUGGAUCACAUUUCUAUUGGCAAAAGGGAAAGUAUUACCGGUGGAAGACGACCUGGUUAUUUCCUUCCAGCUGCUGCUUUGUGUUCUUGAUUAUUUUAUCAAGCUGUUGCCUCCUGCAGCACUCAAGGAACCAUACAAAUCUGCCAUCAGUGCUUUGUCUGCUAAUGGCUCAAUGCGCACUCCUAGACGUCAGAGCAGAAGUUUACGUGCAUCAAAACAAACUGAUACAGAUAUGAAGGUUAUUGAGGAGCUUUGCAAAGAACAUGGUUGUAAUUUGGAUGAGGUGAAAAAUGUUUACUUCACUAGUUUUAUUCCAUUCCUGAAUUCUGUGGGCAUCACAGCUUCCAGUGGACUUUCAGAGGUUGAGAGUAUAUCAAGCAAAUAUGAAGAAAUGUAUCUGAGCAGCAAGGAUAUCGAUGCCAGAUUGUUUCUGGAGAAUGAUGAAACUCUACAGGAUCACACAGAAUGUUUGCAGUUGGAGAGAACACCAACAAAAAACAAUGCUGAUGAAAAUCCCCCGGGUGCGCUUCCCCAGACCCCUGUCCGGGCUGCCAUGAAUACUAUUCAGCAGUUAAUGAUGAUGUUAAACUCAGCAAGUGAUGGACCGUCAGACAGCCUUGCCUCCUAUUUUAAUAACUGCACAGCAAAUCCUACGCAAGACGUAUUGGAAAGAGUGGAAAAUCUUAGUUGUGUCUUCAAACAGAAAUUUGCUGAAGCAAUUGGCCAAGGAUGUAUUGAAAUUGGAUCACAGAGGUACAGACUUGGAGUACGAUUAUACUACAGAGUGAUGGAAUCUAUCUUAAAAUCGGAAGAAAAACGACUGUCAAUUCACAACUUCAGCAAACUUUUGAACAACAACAUCUUCCAUGUCUCUUUGCUGGCCUGUGCUCUUGAAGUUGUUUUGGCGACGUAUGGCACCCUGAGGAAUGGUUUACUAAAUGACCGCAUGAUGAUGGAAACAGACUUGUCUUUCCCAUGGAUUAUCAAUAUACUUGACUUAAAGGCCUUCGACUUAUACAAGGUUAUUGAGAGCUUUAUUAAAGCAGAACCAAGCCUCACACGAGAAAUGAUAAAACACUUGGAAUGCUGUGAACACCGGAUCAUGGAAUCCCUCGCCUGGCAGUCAGAUUCACCGUUAUUUGAGCUCAUACAUCAGUCAAAGGAACGAGAUGGCCCGGCGGAUCCUCUUGAACCUUCUGGCUGCCUUGCCCAGCCUCCGCCGCAGAACCCCACUGCCACAGACUUAUAUCUCUCCCCGGGUUCAGUGUGCUCCGUUGUAAUUCCAGAUAUUCAGCCCGCGCUGCUAUACCAACCUCAGAGACCACAGAAAUCUACUUUUCUCUCACUUUUUUACAAAAAAGUGUACUGCCUAGCUUAUAUACGAUUGAAUAACUUGGCUUCACGUCUUCUCUCGGACCACCCGGACCUCAUACAAUUGAUCUGGACCCUUUUUCAUCAUACGCUGCAAACUGAAUAUGAACUUAUGAAAGACCGGCACUUAGACCAGAUUAUGAUGUGUGCAAUGUAUGGCAUAUGUAAAGUGAAGAACAUCGAUCUCACAUUUAAAACUAUUGUGACAGCGUACAAGGAACUCCCGAAUACGAACCAAGAGACUUUCAAGUGUGUUUUGAUCAGGGAAGGACAAUAUGAUUCCAUUAUAGUCUUCUACAACUUGGUGUUUAUGCAGAGAUUGAAAACUAACAUUUUGCAGUAUGCUUCCAAUAGACCUCCAACGUUAUCACCUAUACCACACAUUCCUCAGAGCCCUUACAAGUCUAAUUCUCCUCUGCGUGUUCCUGCGGGGAACAACAUCUACAUCUCACCUUUGAAAAGCCCCUCCAAGGCCUCUGAAAGGCUGCUGUCCCCCAACAAGAUGACCCCGGGGUCAAGGAUCUUGGUGUCAAUAGGUGAAUCCUUUGGAGUGACUGCUGAAAAAUUUCAGAAGAUAAACCAGAUGAUGUGCAACAGCGAUCGCCACCUGAAGCGUGGAGCAGAAGCGAGCCCUGGGCCCAAACCUCUGAAGAGGCUGCGCUUUGACAUGGAAGGGCAGGACGAAGCGGACGGCAGGGAGCAGCUCUCUGGAGAGUCGAAGUUCCAGCAGAAGCUUGCAGAAAUGACAUCCACUCGAACCAGGAUACAAAACCAGAAGCUAAAUGACGGAGCUGACAUUUCUACCCCUGAUCAAAAAUGAAAUCCCGGCAGCCUGUGACCACGGGCACUCUGCGCUUUGCAAACUCUCACCAGGCCCUUGACAUACAAAUCUUAGUUCCUUUUGUAACCAGUAGCUAAUUUGAGGUAGCUGGACUUUUUUACUUGUUUUUUCUGCAGAGAUUAUGCUAUUGAUGCAAUAUGUAUACAAUAUUAUCUACGUAAUUGUUUAUAUAAAUUAGGAUUUUUAAGUGAAAAUUUCUCCGCUUCCCAAUGUAGUAUUACUGGUUUGAUACAAUUUUACUCUAUUUAUACUGAACUCCUGUGUUUGGGGGAAAUUUGAAGUUUCAGUAGAAUUAGUCAGAAUGCACUAAUGUCAUUUUUAUAUUAGAAUUUGAUGCACUAUUUACUUUUCUAUAAAUUAGAUCCAAAUACUGCAGUGUUUAAAAAUACAGUUCCCUACCCCUGGUAUAGAACUUGACAGUGAGGUGUAAACUCAGUGUCUACACUUACUACUGAAACAAAAAAACCCUGUAUCUCGUUGACAUUUCUGUCUUUCCCCCUAUUAUAAUGUAAGAAAACAUGCACCUAUUUAUUUAUCAGCUAGCCUGGGUUGAAUUUCACUAAAUUAUUUCGAAAGCCAGAAUAGCAAUUCUUCCCUCUGCAGUACAGAAUUCUCAACGUGCCCUUUGCUUCUCUUCAUCAGGAGCAGGGGGAAAGAUUAAAAUGCUAUACAGAGUUAAUGGCUGUAGCUGCACUGGGUCCAUACGAAUCAGUACUGGGAUUGUGAACACUGAAUAUGUAAAGAAUGAGAAA